Molecule: long non-coding RNA, 2735 nt
Organism: Oxyura jamaicensis (ruddy duck)
Lineage: Eukaryota; Metazoa; Chordata; Aves; Anseriformes; Anatidae
Exons: 3
Source: RefSeq, a predicted model, not a curated record
GGCUUAAUUCAAAUCAGAGCUAGACUGCAUCUUAACUCUGUGAAUGUUCUUCAACGUCUCUGAAUAACUGACCCUAUUUUCCCCUGAAACAGCAACAGCAUGCUUUGUGGCUGUAAUUGCAACCACAAGUUUUUGUUGAAAGUUACCGAUCGAUAAGAGUUACAAUUUCAGGUUAACGUAACUGAAAUUUCCAUUUAGGUCAACUCUGGCUGCACUUGAGGGGCUUGGUUUCUUGCUCCCCCAAACUCCAAGUGCUGUUGUGUAGGUUAUCACGAUGAGCUUUCAGUGGCUUGUUGCUAAGAAAACCAUACCCCAAACCAUCCCAGAACAUCUACAUACAGCCACAUUUUGGGAGUCAUGUAGCACAUGUCAAAUCUUUCAAACUAACCUUGGAUAGUUUCUCAUUUUAGGCAGUAGAAUUUCCUGAUGAAAAAUAAUGUUGAAUACUUUCACAGUCAUGUUAUUUAUUAAAUCCAUAUUAGAUGUGUCUGCCUACAGAAUAAAUUAAUUUCAGCUCUACAGCAUAACAAUGAACUAUUCUUUAAUAAAGGGGGGCGGGGAGGAGAAAAUGAGACUUUAAUAAAGGAAACCAGAUGCUGGCUUCAUAUAUUUCUGGGGAAAGAAAACCCACGUAAUUUCAAUGCUUUUCAUUGAGUCCCCUUGGUGAAAUUAUAUUAAGUGUUUUGAUCCAACGCAAUUCUUAAUGUAGUAACAUCUUUUGUCUGGAGAGGCUCCUUACUCUUUCCAGACCAAUAAACCGUACUGAGGCUGCUGCAUUAGGUUGGUUUUAGUGUUUCUGUCAGUAAGGUAAGUCCUGAUGCCUAUUGAUUUCUUUGUGUUUAUUUUUAAUACGUUCUGAGAAAUUCCGCUCAUUCUGUAUGGCUUCUAAUAGAAAAAAAAUAAUUAAAAAAAUCUUUAUUUUCAGAAAUAUUGAAGUGUAUUUUUAAAUAAACCUAUUUGACUUUUUAGGUUCUGGUGAAAUGGGAAGUCAGUCAAGCGAUUGGAAAAUUACUGUAAUAGUAGUAAGCUAUAGAGCUUUAAACACAUGUGAAAAGCAUGCUUUGAUUUAAGCCUAUCAGCAGAAACCUUGUAUGUGGACUUGUGAGGGCUCUGAUCCUGAAAAUGCAGAGUACUGUUGAAGGCAAAGUUAAGAACAUGCAGGUACGACCUCAGGAACAGGAUUUUAGCAGCUUGUCUGAUACUAUUGUCUAUUCGAUUCCCAUUCUUCAACCCUGAGUACAAACCUGUUUCCUCUAAACUGCAUGAAGUUACUAGUUGGCAGGGAAGUGUGUCAGAUUUUGCACAGCUUUUAUAAAGACCAACUUGAAAUAAAGGAGUCCUAAAGUGAGAAAAGGGAAAACUGAGAGAGGAAUCUACUCAGAAGAGCUCAGUGGAUGGAUUUAUAGAGCUCUGCUUCUUCCAGAUUUUCCAUUUGCCAUGUUAAUGGCAUGCAUCAUUGUUUUAGGUCUUCCAGGUCAAAUUCCUUGCUGGUGAAAAAUCUAGCUUUAGAGCAGCAGAGAAGUUUUGCCUGUUUUCAAUUGCACGUGUGAAGGCUUGGGAAUGCCAGGAGUGCAUUAGAAUGGCACGGAGGACCACAGAGUUGCUGUGCUUGCAAGUGGCCAGUCACAGUAGUGUGGUGGGUGAGUGGCUUCUGGGCCAGAGGAGGGCUUGCCUGACACUGAGAAGCUGCUAGAAGAAAGCAGGAAGAAAUCCAGUAUGUCCCUAGUGAAGCCUUGGAUAAAAUAGGUGAAAUUAUGUUUCUGAAGGCAAAUAGAGAGCAGUAGUGGGAUCUUUUAAAUGCAGUAAAAAAAAAGUUGUUGGGCAAAGAGGGACUUGCACUCUAUGAGAAUUGAGGGUUUGUAUUUUUUAAAAGGCAGGAAAGGAGGUUUCUAUUGCAGAUGCAGAGGAUUGUGGGAAAAAAAAAAAAAAGCUGGAAAGACUUAAUAUGUGUGUUAAUGACGUCCCUGAAGAGGAAGUCAGCAGUAAUCCCAUUCUCCUCGUUCACAAACUUCAGAGUCAGAGCUUCCUAGCAAGGAGGCUAAGAAUUUGGAAGGAAGACACUGACUUCUGGAGCAUGGAGUUUUGAUGGGAGUCUAAAGGAUUUAGGCUCUUUUGCUGUGAGCAGGUUGGUACUCUCAUAGCUUGAUAAACACUCCAUCUGGUUUUCAAGUGAGAUAACUGAAGGUAGCUAUUAAAAGAUCAGUUCAAAGUGUGCAAAGAGGAUAUUGUUGGAAGCUUGUCUGUGACCAACAAUGGAGUGCUGCCCAGAGAUAACAGAAAAGCUAAUUCGUCAGGCCUAAGUAGUUCUGAACAAUCAGCCCUCGUGCCCCAAACCAGGAUUCUCUAAUGAGUCUUUUCAGUGGAAAAUUUCUGCAUGACUUUGAUUUGUCUACUGAUUAUAUCAUAAAGUUUAACUGUAGUUAAACCGUAGUAGCUAAACAGUUAAACUGUAGUAGUUCAACAGUCCAGAGACUGAAUAGUUAGUGCUUUUGAAAGGCUUUUGUUUACUGCAGCAAAUGUUUAGAGAGCUCAAGGUGUUUGAUGGUUUGGAUGAAGUUUGCAAUAGUUACCUGAAUUUAUUUCCUCAAGCCAAAUGAUUGCUAGACUAGAACUGCCUUUUAAGCAAAAUGUUCCUAAAAUUGAAUAAAUCAUCUGUUUUCCUGACUUGUUAUGCUGUGGGUUUGGUAGACAGCCAGUCUUCAGAUACUUUGAGAUUUCUUUAGUAAGAUAUCUAU